GAUGAACGCUGGCGGCGUGCCUAAUACAUGCAAGUCGAGCGAACAGACGAGGAGCUUGCUCCUUCGACGUUAGCGGCGGACGGGUGAGUAACACGUAGGUAACCUACCUAUCAGACUGGGAUAACUUCGGGAAACCGGAGCUAAUACCGGAUAAUAUUUCGAACCGCAUGGUUCGAUAGUGAAAGAUGGCUUUGCUAUCACUUAUAGAUGGAUCUGCGCCGUAUUAGCUAGUUGGUAAGGUAACGGCUUACCAAGGCAACGAUACGUAGCCGACCUGAGAGGGUGAUCGGCCACACUGGAACUGAGACACGGUCCAGACUCCUACGGGAGGCAGCAGUAGGGAAUCUUCCGCAAUGGGCGAAAGCCUGACGGAGCAACGCCGCGUGAGUGAUGAAGGUCUUCGGAGCGUAAAACUCUGUUAUUAGGGAAGAACAAACGUGUAAGUAACUGUGCACGUCUUGACGGUACCUAAUCAGAAAGCCACGGCUAACUACGUG
RNAcentral lists this ribosomal RNA (497 nucleotides) under uncultured bacterium. RNAcentral describes it as "partial 16S ribosomal RNA". It matches the Rfam family "Bacterial small subunit ribosomal RNA", at positions 28 to 507 of the family's 1533-position model. The record is from RNAcentral.